GGAUGCMAAGGUGAUCUGGGUGUGACAUCUGUCACCCCAUUGAUCACCAGGGUUGAUUUGGCUGAUCUGGCUGGCUAGGUGGGUGUCCCCUUCCUCCCUCACUGCUCCAUGUGUGUCCCUCCCRAAGCUGUGCGCUCGGUCGAAGAGGGCGACCUUCCUUGACAGAGACGUAUCGUUCAUUGGUCAAGGGUAUACAGUAGCUGCUCUCCCCUGCUACUCCUCCAUCCUUCCAAUGAGGGGAAUGAAUUCAAGGAGAAGAUGGAUAUUUCAGGUCAACAGCUGGCUCUGCCACUGGU
RNAcentral lists this small nuclear RNA (296 nucleotides) under Nothoprocta perdicaria. Its description in RNAcentral is "7SK RNA (ENSNPEG00000006181.1)". It matches the Rfam family "7SK RNA". Rfam says of the family: 7SK was discovered as an abundant small nuclear RNA in the mid-70s but a possible function has only recently been suggested. Lineage: Eukaryota; Metazoa; Chordata; Aves; Tinamiformes; Tinamidae. The record is from Rfam by way of RNAcentral.